UAGGGAAUCUUCCGCAAUGGGCGAAAGCCUGACGGAGCAACGCCGCGUGAGUGAUGAAGGUCUACGGAUCGUAAAACUCUGUUAUUAGGGAAGAACAAAUGUGUAAGUAACUAUGCACGUCUUGACGGUACCUAAUCAGAAAGCCACGGCUAACUACGUGCCAGCAGCCGCGGUAAUACGUAGGUGGCAAGCGUUAUCCGGAAUUAUUGUGCGUAAAGCGCGCAUAGGCGGUUUUUUAAGUCUGAUGUGAAAGCCCACGGCUCAACCGUGGAGGGUCAUUGGAAACUGGAAAACUUGAGUGCAGAAGAGGAAAGUGGAAUUCCAUGUGUAGCGGUGAAAUGCGCAGAAAUAUGGAGGAACACCAGUGGCGAAGGCGACUUUCUGGUCUGUAACUGACGCUGAUGUGCGAAAGCGGGGGGAUCAAACAGG
This 429-nucleotide ribosomal RNA is filed under the name Actinomycetes bacterium. RNAcentral describes it as "Actinobacteria bacterium partial 16S ribosomal RNA". It matches the Rfam family "Bacterial small subunit ribosomal RNA", at positions 355 to 776 of the family's 1533-position model. The record is from RNAcentral. Lineage: Bacteria; Bacillati; Actinomycetota; Actinomycetes.